UACGGAGGUGGCAAGCGUUGCUCGGAAUCACUGGGCGUAAAGGGUGCGUAGGCGGCGCGGUAAGUCGGGUGUGAAAUCUCGGAGCUUAACUCCGAAACUGCAUUCGAUACUGCCGUGCUUGAGGACUGGAGAGGAGACUGGAAUUUACGGUGUAGCGGUGAAAUGCGUAGAUAUCGUAAGGAAGACCAGUGGCGAAGGCGGGUCUCUGGACAGUUCCUGACGCUGAGGCACGAAGGCCAGGGGAGCAAACGGG
RNAcentral lists this ribosomal RNA (253 nucleotides) under uncultured bacterium. Its description in RNAcentral is "partial 16S ribosomal RNA". It matches the Rfam family "Bacterial small subunit ribosomal RNA", at positions 524 to 776 of the family's 1533-position model. The record is from RNAcentral.